GAUGAACGCUGGCGGCGUGCCUAAUACAUGCAAGUCGAGCGAACAGACGAGGAGCUUGCUCCUCUGACGUUAGCGGCGGACGGGUGAGUAACACGUGGAUAACCUACCUAUAAGACUGGGAUAACUUCGGGGAACCGGAGCUGAUACCGGAUAAUAUAUUGAACCGCAGGGUUCAAUAGUUCAAGACGGUUUUCCUGUCACUUUGAGAUGGAUCCGCGCCGCAUUAGCUAGUUGGUAAGGUAACGGCUUACCAAGGCGACGAUGCGUAGCCGACCUGAGAGGGUGAUCGGCCACACUGGAACUGAGACACGGUCCAGACUCCUACGGGAGGCAGCAGUAGGGAAUCUUCCGCAAUGGGCGAAAGCCUGACGGAGCAACGCCGCGUGAGUGAUGAAGGUCUUCGGAUCGUAAAACUCUGUUAUUAGGGAAGAACAAAUGUGUAAGUAACUAUGCACGUCUUGACGGUACCUAAUCAGAAAGCCACGGCUAACUACGUG
This 497-nucleotide ribosomal RNA is filed under the name uncultured bacterium. RNAcentral's name for it is "partial 16S ribosomal RNA". It matches the Rfam family "Bacterial small subunit ribosomal RNA", at positions 28 to 507 of the family's 1533-position model. The record is from RNAcentral.